GGGGGUGAAAUUGGCUUCGACGGGAUUAAAGAGACACUAAACUGCACACCGUGUUUCCUGCAGACACGUUAAACGGCGGGAAAAAACUUUAAUUGGCGAAUACGAUUACGCUCUAGCUGCGUAAAUUAACGCAGCCGUUCUCUGUUCUCUCUCGUACC
RNAcentral lists this transfer-messenger RNA (158 nucleotides) under Ignavibacteriota bacterium. RNAcentral's name for it is "Ignavibacteriae bacterium partial transfer-messenger RNA". It matches the Rfam family "transfer-messenger RNA", at positions 1 to 163 of the family's 374-position model. Rfam says of the family: Bacterial tmRNA, also known as 10Sa RNA or SsrA, is named for its dual tRNA and mRNA-like properties. Lineage: Bacteria; Pseudomonadati; Ignavibacteriota. The record is from RNAcentral.